UGCAGUCGAACGAAGUAGCAAUACUUAGUGGCAGACGGGUGAGUAACAUGUGGGUAUCUGCCCUUUGGCCUGGAAUAACACGAGGAAACUUGUGCUAAUACCGGAUAAGUCUUUACGGAGAAAGCUUUAUGCACCAUUGGAUGAGCCCGCACUUGAUUAGUUUGUUGGUGGGGUAAUGGCCUACCAAGACUUUGAUCAAUAGCUGAUUUGAGAGGAUGAUCAGCCACAUUGGGACUGAGACACGGCCCAAACUCCUACGGGAGGCAGCAGUGGGGAAUCUUGCACAAUGGAGGAAACUCUGAUGCAGCGAUGCCGCGUGAGUGAAGAAGGCCUUUGGGUUGUAAAGCUCUUUCGUCGGGGAAGAAAAUGACUGUACCCGAAUAAGAAGGUCCGGCUAACUUCGUGCCAGCAGCCGCGGUAAUACGAAGGGACCUAGCGUAGUUCGGAAUUACUGGGCUUAAAGAGUUCGUAGGUGGUUGAAAAAGUUGGUGGUGAAAUCCCAGAGCUUAACUCUGGAACUGCCAUCAAAACUUUUCGGCUAGAGUUUGAUAGAGGAAAGCAGAAUUUCUAGUGUAGAGGUGAAAUUCGUAGAUAUUAGAAAGAAUACCAAUUGCGAAGGCAGCUUUCUGGAUCAUUACUGACACUGAGGAACGAAAGCAUGGGUAGCGAAGAGGAUUAGAUACCCUCGUAGUCCAUGCCGUANACGAUGUGUGUUAGACGUUGGAAAUUUAUUUUCAGUGUCGCAGCGAAAGCAAUAAACACACCGCCUGGGGAGUACGACCGCAAGGUUAAAACUCAAAUGAAUUGACGGGGACCCGCACAAGUAGUGGAGCAUGUGGUUUAAUUCGAAGAUACGCGCAGAACCUUACCAACACUUGACAUGUUCGUCGCGACUUUAAGAGAUUAAAGUUUUCGGUUCGGCCGGAC
RNAcentral lists this ribosomal RNA (927 nucleotides) under uncultured marine bacterium. RNAcentral describes it as "bacterial SSU rRNA". It matches the Rfam family "Bacterial small subunit ribosomal RNA", at positions 56 to 1028 of the family's 1533-position model. The record is from RNAcentral.